AGUGAACGCUGGCGGUAGGCCUAACGCAUGCAAGUCGAACGGCAGCACAGUAAGAGCUUGCUCUUACGGGUGGCGAGUGGCGGACGGGUGAGGAAUACAUCGGAAUCUACUUUUUCGUGGGGGAUAACGUAGGGAAACUUACGCUAAUACCGCAUACGACCUACGGGUGAAAGCAGGGGAUCUUCGGACCUUGCGCGAUUGAAUGAGCCGAUGUCGGAUUAGCUAGUUGGCGGGGUAAAGGCCCACCAAGGCGACGAUCCGUAGCUGGUCUGAGAGGAUGAUCAGCCACACUGGAACUGAGACACGGUCCAGACUCCUACGGGAGGCGGCAGUGGGGAAUAUUGGACAAUGGGCGCAAGCCUGAUCCAGCCAUACCGCGUGGGUGAAGAAGGCCUUCGGGUUGUAAAGCCCUUUUGUUGGGAAAGAAAAGCAGCAGGUUAAUACCCCGCUGUUCUGACGGUACCCAAAGAAUAAGCACCGGCUAACUUCGUG
RNAcentral lists this ribosomal RNA (492 nucleotides) under uncultured bacterium. RNAcentral's name for it is "partial 16S ribosomal RNA". It matches the Rfam family "Bacterial small subunit ribosomal RNA", at positions 29 to 507 of the family's 1533-position model. The record is from RNAcentral.